RNAcentral lists this ribosomal RNA (119 nucleotides) under Pistia stratiotes (water lettuce). The record is from RNAcentral. Lineage: Eukaryota; Viridiplantae; Streptophyta; Magnoliopsida; Alismatales; Araceae.
GGGUGCGAUCAUACCAGCACUAAUGCACCGGAUCCCAUCAGAACUCCGAAGUUAAGCGUGCUAGGGCGAGAGUAGUACUAGGAUGGGUGACCUCCUGGGAAGUCCUCGUGUUGCACUCC